AUGGCAGAGGAACCGUCCGCCAAGCGUCAUCAUGCCGAGACGUCGGACAAGAGGAGCAACCUCGUCGACAUUAACGUCCCCGGUGAGAAGCGCGAGUACACAACAACCCUCAAAGGGGUUGAGCUCCACGGCAACGAGACGCUGGAGAUCGUCUGCACUAGCGUACCAGAAAAGGCCGACGAGGUGAUCUCCAGGCUUUGGAGGAUGCUUGGCGGCAGGGUUCGUAGGAUCGUCGGCGUUGGUGUGCACUACACCAACAAAGAUGAACCUCCCCAGAAGGCAGCAGUCCUGCAGUUGUGCGUCGACGAACUCUGCUUGGUGUACCACAUCGCAGUGGCCACAAAAUGGCCCAAGCGCCUCAAAGACUUCCUGCAGGAGGAGAAAUUGUACACAUUUGUUGGUUUCAGCAUUGGAGGUGACAAGCAGAAGCUGGGGGAGUCUGGUUUGGAAAUCAACCCCAACAACUUCAUCAACAUGCAGUGCAAGUGGAAAGAUCCAAAGAACGACAAAUACUACGACUCCUUGGCCGAUGUUGCAGGCGACGUCAUCCACCCAUUCUACGAACGCAUGAAGAAGAAGAUGAAGAGGGAAGACCACAAACUGUGGGCGACCAGCCCGCUGCCAGACAACCUCAUCACGUACGCAGGAAUAGAUGCAUACGCAACGUACAAGUCAUGGAAGACAAUCGACAACAUCAUGACAGGUUGGGAUAUUUCAAAAGAGCAGGAGGCUGACCCCUACUACCACUGCAACUUCACGGAUGAAGAUGCAUGA
This 774-nucleotide ribosomal RNA is filed under the name Triticum aestivum (bread wheat). RNAcentral describes it as "partial small subunit ribosomal RNA". The record is from RNAcentral. Lineage: Eukaryota; Viridiplantae; Streptophyta; Magnoliopsida; Poales; Poaceae.